RNAcentral lists this ribosomal RNA (464 nucleotides) under uncultured bacterium. RNAcentral describes it as "partial 16S ribosomal RNA". It matches the Rfam family "Bacterial small subunit ribosomal RNA", at positions 339 to 795 of the family's 1533-position model. The record is from RNAcentral.
CUACGGGCGGCAGCAGUGAGGAAUUUUGCGCAAUGGGGGAAACCCUGACGCAGCAACGCCGCGUGAGUGAAGAAGGCUUUCGGGUCGUAAAGCUCUGUCAGAUAGGAAAAAAGUUCAUAUGUAAAUAGCUUAUGAAUCUGAUGGUACUAUCAGAGGAAGCACCGGCUAACUCCGUGCCAGCAGCCGCGGUAAUACGGAGGGUGCAAGCGUUGUUCGGAAUUACUGGGCGUAAAGGGCGUGUAGGCGGUAUGGUAAGUCAGAUGUGAAAGCCCUGGGCUUAACUCAGGAAGUGCAUUUGAUACUGGCAUCCUUGAGUAUGGGAGAGGAGAGUAGAAUUCCCAGUGUAGAAGUGAAAUUCGUAGAUAUUGGGAGGAAUACCCGUGGCGAAGGCGACUCUCUGGACCAAUACUGACGCUGAGACGCGAAAGCGUGGGGAGCAAACAGGAUUAGAUACCCCGGUAGUC